Molecule: transfer RNA, 68 nt
Filed under: Chaenogobius annularis (forktongue goby)
Lineage: Eukaryota; Metazoa; Chordata; Actinopteri; Gobiiformes; Gobiidae
Description: tRNA-Ala
Source: RNAcentral
UAAGACUUGCGGGACACUAACCCACAUCUUCUGCAUGCAAAACAGACACUUUAAUUAAGCUAAAGCCU